RNAcentral lists this ribosomal RNA (527 nucleotides) under uncultured bacterium. Its description in RNAcentral is "bacterial SSU rRNA". It matches the Rfam family "Bacterial small subunit ribosomal RNA", at positions 8 to 526 of the family's 1533-position model. The record is from RNAcentral.
AGAGUUUGAUCAUGGCUCAGAUUGAACGCUGGCGGCAGGCCUAACACAUGCAAGUCGAGCGGUAACACAGGGAGCUUGCUCCUGGGUGACGAGCGGCGGACGGGUGAGUAAUGUCUGGGAAACUGCCCGAUGGAGGGGGAUAACUACUGGAAACGGUAGCUAAUACCGCAUAACGUCGCAAGACCAAAGAGGGGGACCUUCGGGCCUCUUGCCAUCGGAUGUGCCCAGAUGGGAUUAGCUAGUAGGUGGGGUAACGGCUCACCUAGGCGACGAUCCCUAGCUGGUCUGAGAGGAUGACCAGCCACACUGGAACUGAGACACGGUCCAGACUCCUACGGGAGGCAGCAGUGGGGAAUAUUGCACAAUGGGCGCAAGCCUGAUGCAGCCAUGCCGCGUGUAUGAAGAAGGCCUUAGGGUUGUAAAGUACUUUCAGUUGGGAGGAAGGCGUUGAUGCUAAUAACCUUGGUGAUUGACGUUACUCGCAGAAGAAGCACCGGCUAACUCCGUGCCAGCAGCCGCGGUAAUUC